This 82-nucleotide transfer RNA is filed under the name Danio rerio (zebrafish). RNAcentral's name for it is "tRNA-Ser (TGA) (tRNA-Ser-TGA-92-1)". It matches the Rfam family "tRNA". From Rfam's summary of the family: Transfer RNA (tRNA) molecules are approximately 80 nucleotides in length. Their secondary structure includes four short double-helical elements and three loops (D, anti-codon, and T loops). Lineage: Eukaryota; Metazoa; Chordata; Actinopteri; Cypriniformes; Danionidae. The record is from Rfam by way of RNAcentral.
GUAGUCGUGGCCGAGUGGUUAAGGCGAUGGACUUGAAAUCCAUUGGGGUCUCCCUGUGCAGGUUAGAAUCUUGCAGACUACG